RNAcentral lists this ribosomal RNA (503 nucleotides) under uncultured bacterium. Its description in RNAcentral is "partial 16S ribosomal RNA". It matches the Rfam family "Bacterial small subunit ribosomal RNA", at positions 30 to 523 of the family's 1533-position model. The record is from RNAcentral.
AUUGAACGCUGGCGGCAGGCUUAACACAUGCAAGUCGAGCGGGGUGAUGGUGCUUGCACUAUCACUUAGCGGCGGACGGGUGAGUAAUGCUUAGGAAUCUGCCUAUUAGUGGGGGACAACAUCUCGAAAGGGAUGCUAAUACCGCAUACGUCCUACGGGAGAAAGCAGGGGAUCACUUGUGACCUUGCGCUAAUAGAUGAGCCUAAGUCGGAUUAGCUAGUUGGUGGGGUAAAGGCCUACCAAGGCGACGAUCUGUAGCGGGUCUGAGAGGAUGAUCCGCCACACUGGGACUGAGACACGGGCCAGACUCCUACGUGAGGCAGCAGUGGGGAAUAUUGUACCAUGGGGGGAACCCUGAUCCAGCCAUGCCGCGUGUGUGAAGAAGGCCUUAUGGUUGUAAAGCACUUUAAGCGAGGAGGAGGCUCUUUUGGUUAAUACCCAAGAUGAGUGGACGUUACUCGCAGAAUAAGCACCGGCUAACUCUGUGCCAGCAGCCGCAGUAA